RNAcentral lists this ribosomal RNA (343 nucleotides) under uncultured Chromobacterium sp. RNAcentral's name for it is "bacterial SSU rRNA". It matches the Rfam family "Bacterial small subunit ribosomal RNA", at positions 1138 to 1480 of the family's 1533-position model. The record is from RNAcentral. Lineage: Bacteria; Pseudomonadati; Pseudomonadota; Betaproteobacteria; Neisseriales; Chromobacteriaceae.
CUCUAAUGAGACUGCCGGUGACAAACCGGAGGAAGGUGGGGAUGACGCCAAGUCCUCAUGGCCCUUAUGAGCAGGGCUUCACACGUCAUACAAUGGUCGGUACAGAGGGUUGCCAAGCCGCGAGGUGGAGUUAAUCUCAGAAAACCGAUCGUAGUCCGGAUCGCACUCUGCAACUCGAGUGCGUGAAGUCGGAAUCGCUAGUAAUCGCAGAUCAGCAUGCUGCGGUGAAUACGUUCCCGGGUCUUGUACACACCGCCCGUCACACCAUGGGAGUGAGUUUCACCAGAAGUGGGUAGGCUAACCGUAAGGAGGCCGCUUACCACGGUGGGAUUCAUGACUGGGG